Molecule: ribosomal RNA, 1437 nt
Filed under: uncultured Bordetella sp.
Lineage: Bacteria; Pseudomonadati; Pseudomonadota; Betaproteobacteria; Burkholderiales; Alcaligenaceae
Description: partial 16S-23S ribosomal RNA intergenic spacer
Rfam family: Bacterial small subunit ribosomal RNA
Source: RNAcentral
AGUUCGAUCAUGGCUCAGACUGAGCGCUGGUGGAUACACAUGCAAGUCGAACGGCACGGACUUUGGUCCGGUGAAGAGCAAGAACGGGUGAGUAAUGACGGAACGUGCCUAGUAGCGGGAUGACUACGCGAAAGCGUAGCUAAUACCGCGCUGCCUCUUCGGGGAAAGUGGGGGACCUUCGGGCCUCGCACUAUUAGAGCGUGGCCGAUAUCGGAUUAGCUAGUUGGUGGGGUACACUACCACCAAGGCGACGAUCCGUAGCUGGUUUGAGAGGACGACCAGCCACACUGGGACUGGAGACACGCCCAGACUCCUACGGGAGGCAGCAGUGGGGAAUUUUGGACAAUGGGGGAACCCUGAUCCAGCCAUCCCGCGUGCGAUGAAGGCCUUCGGGUUGUAAAAGCACUUUGGCAGGAAGAAACGGCACGGAUAAUACUCCCGCAACUGACGGUACCUGAGAAUAAGCACCGCCAACUACGUGCCAGCAGCCGCGGCAAUAUGGGAAAGCGUUAAUCGGAAUUACUGGGCGUAAAGCGUGCGCAGGCGGUUCGGAAAGAAAGAUGAAAUCUCAGAGCUUAACUUUUGGAACUGGGUAUUUUUAACUACCGAGCUAGAGUGUGUCAGAGGGAGGUGGAAUUCCGCGUGUAUAGAAUGCGUAGAGGAGAACACUGACAGUGAAGGCAGCCUCCGAUAACACUGACGCUCAUGCACGAAAGCGUGGGGAGCAAACAGGAUUAGAUACCUCUGGUAGUCCACGCCCCCAACGAUGUCAACUAGCUGUUGGGGCCUUCGGGCCUCGGUAGCGCAGCUAACGCGUGAAGUUGACCGCCUGGGGAGUACGGUCGCAAGAUUAAAACCCAAAGGAAUUGACGAUUCCGGCACAAGGUGAUGAUGUGGAUUAAUUGAUGCAACGCGAAAACCUUACCUACCCUUGACAUGUCUGGAAUCCUGAAGAGAUUUGGGAGUGCUCGCAAGAGAACCUUGAACACAGGUGCUGCAUGGCUGCUUUUCGCCUGCCGUGAGAUGUUGGGUUAAGUCCCGCAACGAGCGCAACCCCUUGUCAUUAGCGUUGUUGAAGUGGGCACUUGAAUGAGACUGCCGGUGACAAACUGGAGGAAGGUGGGGAUGACGCUAGUCCUCAUGUCUCUUAUGGGUAGGGUCAUACGUCAUACAAUGGUCGGGACAGAGAAUGCCAACCCGCGAGGGGGAGCCAAUCCCAGAAACCCGAUCGUAGUCCGGAUCAGCAGUCUGCAACUCGACUGCGAAGUCGGAAUCGCUAGUAAUCGCGGAUCAGCAUGUCGCGGUGAAUAUUCCCGGGUCUUGUACACACCGCCCGUCACACCAUGGGAGUGGGUUUUACCAGAAGUAGUUAUACUAACCGUAAGGAGGGCGAUUACCAUUGUGGUAUCUGGCGACUGGGGUGUCGUAACAAGGUAG